RNAcentral lists this ribosomal RNA (425 nucleotides) under uncultured bacterium. RNAcentral describes it as "partial 16S ribosomal RNA". It matches the Rfam family "Bacterial small subunit ribosomal RNA", at positions 354 to 796 of the family's 1533-position model. The record is from RNAcentral.
GUAGGGAAUCUUGCGCAAUGGGCGAAAGCCUGACGCAGCCAUGCCGCGUGAAUGAUGAAGGUCUUAGGAUUGUAAAAUUCUUUCACCGGGGACGAUAAUGACGGUACCCGGAGAAGAAGCCCCGGCUAACUUCGUGCCAGCAGCCGCGGUAAUACGAAGGGGGCUAGCGUUGCUCGGAAUUACUGGGCGUAAAGGGAGCGUAGGCGGAUAGUUUAGUCAGAGGUGAAAGCCCAGGGCUCAACCGUUGAAUUGCCUUUGAUACUGGAUAUCUUGAGUAUGGAAGAGGUAUGUGGAACUCCGAGGGUAGAGGUGAAAUUCGUAGAUAUUCGGAAGAACACCAGUGGCGAAGGCGACAUACUGGUCCAUUACUGACGCUGAGGCGCGAAAGCGUGGGGAGCAAACAGGAUUAGAAACCCCAGUAGUCC